UUGGUUAAUAGAUCGGAUCACGUCUGGCCUGUUAAUAAGCGUGAAUUGAAUUUUAAGAAUGAAAUACAAACUGAGAUACGUUCGAGAUAAUGUGGAACUGGCGAUGGAAGUAGUUGAAUGGAAAUUAUAUUACCGCUUCAGAUUGAAUUUUUUUUCGAAUUUCAGGGUUCUGAUAUCCAGAGUUUUGCAAUGAUAAAUAAAUAAACGCGUUCCUUUUUGAAAACGCGCGAUUUGAAUUCUGAAAAUAUUUUUAUAAAAAGUAGAGACUUUAAGUAACGGUGAAAUAUUUUUAUUUACAAUUGUGUCAUAAUAGCGACGAUCCCCCCCCUACAUCGUCGUAAAUCGAUUACAUAUCGCGACUCUUUCCUUUACAUAAUGCCGCGAAAGAGAUGCCCGCUUCAAUUGGCAAGCGGUGUAUGAAUUAUAGCGGAUAUACCACAAGUUAUUUCUGACGGGAUUUUUUGGCAUGAUUCGAAAGCAAUUUGCCAACGAUUAAAGUGUUCCAUUAAUAAGCCACGGGAUCUUUAUGUUAAGCGAACUGUAUUACUGUCAUCAGGUGAGUGUCUCAUUAAGUCUCGUUGGCAAAGUUUAAUUUGAUUAUCUAAUACCGAAGGAUAUUAUCGAAUCACAUUCUUUUUUCCUUCCUUUUCUUUUUUCAUCUAACAUCAGUGGAUGAUGGAAGAGAUAUUGGUUGCAAAAGGUUUCGCACGUUCGACUUUUUCGACAUUUUACGAUUCACAAUUCCGAAUAUAAAAAUUUAACAGGAUGCUUGAAAUUAACUUUGCAAAUUUAUCGGGAAAAGGAGCGAAAAGAUGAAGCGAAUGAUCGAUAUUACGACGAUGUGUUCGCUCUUUCGUUCCAUUGAAUACUACAAGCAAUAAAGGAGGAAAACUUUCCAUUCUAUACCAGAGUCUGGAAAAGUACCGAAUGCUUAUGACGCAAAUUUAACAGAGGACACAGGAUGAUUGCCAAUAUUCCAUCCCAUAAAGACGAAGGAUAAUAAGAGCUUCAAUUCGUAAUAAAUCUUAUAAAAAUAUCAACGUCCAACAAAAAAUUCAUAUGUACAUUUAUUAAAACGAGUUUGUUCGACAAUUGAUGACGAUAUAUUCGUGGAAUAUUAGUAGAAUUUUCAUAUUUCAACUUUAUAACUUUUCAAAACAUUCCAAAGAUUUCGAUUGUUGAAAAUGAAAAUAAUUUUCAAAGAAUUUUCAAAGAGUAUUAAAAACAGAUAAUAAAUAAUCUGAAACUGUGGUUAAAAUUUGUGGUUAUAAUUUCAAAAUUCAAGAACAAUAAACGUGAUUAUUGAUUCAACUUUUAACAAACGAUAAUCUUCGAAUUAGAAAAAUUAAAAACUUUCAAUAGACAAAUAAUGAUAAUCUUUGACUGAUAUGACAUAAAUAUUCUAGAAAUAAAUUGCCGCAGUAUCGCUUUCCUUUUUUUUUUUUUUUUUUAAAUAAAUAUCUUCAUUCCGUUUUAAAAUUAUCUGCAUAUCUAUUUUCCGUAUAUCACAGAUAUAUAUUUCAAUUUCGAAUAAUCUAUCUUAAGAAAGAAUAAAAAGAAUGUGAAAUCUAUUGCGUAAUAUUUCUGUAAAAAAAGUUGUCAAAGGAAUAAACCGAUUAAUAAAGAAACACGCGCUCAAUAAAUAUCUAAUCACGCGGUUACCACUGAACGAUAAAUCCGUACGUUGGUAAAUCAUGCGAUUGUUGUACGGAAUCGCGGGAAACUUGUAUGAGAAUGGCGAUCCGCGGUCGACCACGUGACAAACGUUGAAAGCACGUGCUCCGCAUCAAUUAUGGUCGAAACCAGUGAACAACGCGCGCCCCGAGAAGGAAUUCCACGCAAAGUGACUCGUUUCUCCUCAAAAUGCACGAAUGCGCACACGGAGAGUUCGUAUUGCAACUGUUUCGCAACCGAAGAAGAAAGAGAUGCCGGGAAAAAGAUAAUAACGCAUAUUGCGUUCAAUGAAUAGAAACGAACUAAGAAAAAUGAAACGUGUCAUCGAGUUAAUCGGUUCAGGAAAAGAAGAUACUGAAACUCAAUUGGUAUACGGUGAUACACGUGGAACGUAAUUGACACCGCGAAAACAACAUGAUUAACAUCGAUCAGAAUAAUAAAUAAAAUGUAGGUAUAUUUUAUCUAUCGUGAAACAUUUCUAACUUUUAAAAAUUGAUCCAGAAUUGAAUUAAUUUUGAUCGAUUUAUUUUACAUUUUACAAUUAUAUAUCAAUUAAUUGUUUAGAGAUGCGAUAAUAAUUACAUCAGUAGUAAAAAAUAAUAUUAAAUAUGAGAAAAUGAAAUGAAUGAAAAUUAAUAGAAAUUUUUCGGAAUAAAAACGAUAAAAUUCGCGAAUGAGUCACAGUGGAAUUUUUAAAUCAGCUAAAUAUAUUAAAUGUAACUAGAGAAAUCAACAAUUACGACAGAUUUACUUAGAACUUUUAUUUAUAUGCGUAUAUGACUUCAUCUUUGGCAUCUUGGCGACAAGAAUAUACCGAAGAAUAGACUGCAAAGCAAAUGCAAAGCAAAACUGAAAGUGAUGGAGAGGGGGAAAGAACGUAAGUGGGUGUACGAGUUAUAAAAUCAGGAUAAGGACGAAGAUUACCUUUGGAACAUCUACUAACUUUAUUCUCUAACUUUUAUUAAUUUACGCAUUCAAAAUUCAUCGCUAACUCUUUAAAUAUUCUCUAUGAAGAAAAAACUCUUUAAAAUUUAUUUCUCUAUGAAGAAAAAAAAUGACAAUCUUUCCUAUAUAUAUAACCUAUAAAAUUAUGACAUUGCGCAAAAGAUUAAAAACAUCACUCAUACUUUAAACAUCAAUAAAGAAAAAGAAAAGUAAA
Apis cerana (Asiatic honeybee) is the source of this 2833-nucleotide long non-coding RNA. RefSeq lists it as uncharacterized. The record is from RefSeq and is a predicted model, not a curated record. Lineage: Eukaryota; Metazoa; Arthropoda; Insecta; Hymenoptera; Apidae.